CCUACGGGUGGCAGCAGUGGGGAAUAUUGCACAAUGGGGGAAACCCUGAUGCAGCGACGCCGCGUGAAGGAAGAAGUAUUUCGGUAUGUAAACUUCUAUCAGCAGGGAAGAAAAGGACGGUACCUGACUAAGAAGCCCCGGCUAACUACGUGCCAGCAGCCGCGGUAAUACGUAGGGGGCAAGCGUGAUCCGGAUUUACUGGGUGUAAAGGGAGCGUAGGCGGUAUAGCAAGUCUGAAGUGAAAGCCCGGGGCUCAACUCCGGGACUGCUUUGGAAACUGUUGAGCUAGAGUGCAGGAGAGGUAAGUGGAAUUCCUGGUGUAGCGGUGAAAUGCGUAGAUAUUAGGAGGAACACCAGUGGCGAAGGCGGCUUACUGGACUGUAAAUGACGCUGAGGCUCGAAAGCGUGGGGAGCAAACAGGAUUAGAUACCCGAGUAGUC
This 440-nucleotide ribosomal RNA is filed under the name uncultured bacterium. Its description in RNAcentral is "partial 16S ribosomal RNA". It matches the Rfam family "Bacterial small subunit ribosomal RNA", at positions 338 to 795 of the family's 1533-position model. The record is from RNAcentral.